AUAAGGGUUUUUGUAAUUUGGUUUCAAGGUCAGCUAUUGUUUGAUGUGUUUUCAGAUUCAUCACUCCACAACUUCCUGGGUGGGCUGGGGUAUCAUCAGCUAGCAGUGGCUCGCCGUUUCACUUGUUUAAAAAAAUAAAUAUUUGAAAGUGCAUAACCUUUGCAACAAACCCUAAACUUUCCACAAAUAGUGUAAACCGGCAGGCAUAUAACUGCUGAUCUUGUUUAUUAUUGAACUACGCCCAGGAAAUGACUACUUCUGGUUGCAGGUCCAGUUGAAGUCAAAAAUCGGAAAAAAACAAGAUAUUUCAAAUCUUGGGUCAAAAUGACCUUCUUUACACUUCUGUACCAAGAUCAGAUUCACUCUGACCUAAGAACUGUUGUGGUAAAUGUGUUCACUAGUGUGCUCUCUACAUAAAGACUACUGAUGGAUACAUCAAUCAGCAUCG
This 448-nucleotide long non-coding RNA is filed under the name Mytilus galloprovincialis (Mediterranean mussel). The record is from RNAcentral. Lineage: Eukaryota; Metazoa; Mollusca; Bivalvia; Mytilida; Mytilidae.